Molecule: ribosomal RNA, 406 nt
Filed under: uncultured bacterium
Lineage: Bacteria
Description: partial 16S ribosomal RNA
Rfam family: Bacterial small subunit ribosomal RNA
Source: RNAcentral
AUUGAACGCUGGCGGCAGGCUUAACACAUGCAAGUCGAGCGAGUGGCGGACGGGUGAGUAAUGUCUGGGAAACUGCCCGAUGGAGGGGGAUAACUACUGGAAACGGUAGCUAAUACCGCAUACCAUCGGAUGUGCCCAGAUGGGAUUAGCUAGUAGGUGGGGUAACGGCUCACCUAGGCGACGAUCCCUAGCUGGUCUGAGAGGAUGACCAGCCACACUGGAACGGAGACACGGUCCAGACUCCUACGGGAGGCAGCAGUGGGGAAUAUUGCACAAUGGGCGCAAGCCUGAUGCAGCCAUGCCGCGUGUAUGAAGAAGGCCUUCGGGUUGUAAAGUACUUUCAGCGAGGAGGCGUUACUCGCAGAAGAAGCACCGGCUAACUCCGUGCCAGCAGCCGCGGUAAUUC